GACCCGACUGCUAUUUGGGUGAGGAUAAGCCAUGCGAGUUGAAUGGGAUACCUAAAAAUCCCAUGGCAAACUGCUCAGUAACACAUGAUCAACUUACCCUAUAGAGGAAAAUAACCUCGGGAAACUGAGGAUAAUGUUCCAUAGUUGAAUCGGCUUGGAAAAGUUUUUCAAUAAAAGGGAUAAGAAAAAUGGUUCUUAUCUGCUAUAGGAUAGGAUCGUGCUCGAUUAUGGUUGUUGGUGAGGUAACGGCUCACCAAGCCGAUAAUCGAUAGGGGCCGUGAGAGCGGGAGCCCCGAGAUGGGUACUGAGACAACGACCCAGGCCUUACGAGGCGCAGCAGGCGCGAAACCUCCGCAAUACACGAAAGUGUGACGGGGUUACCCAAAGUGUUCUAUUUAGAACUGUGGUAGGUGAGUAAUGUCCCCUACUAGAAAGGAGAGGGCAAGGCUGGUGCCAGCCGCCGCGGUAAAACCAGCUCUUCAAGUGGUCGGGAUAAUUAUUGGGCUUAAAGUGUCCGUAGCCGGUUUAGUAAGUUCCUGGUAAAAUCGGGUAGCUUAACUAUCUAUAUGCUAGGAAUACUGCUAUACUAGAGGGCGGGAGAGGUCUGAGGUACUACAGGGGUAGGGGUGAAAUCUUAUAAUCCUUGUAGGACCACCAGUGGCGAANGCGUCAGACUGGAACGCGCCUGACGGUGAGGGACGAAAGCCAGGGGAGCGAACCGGAUUAGAUACCCGGGUAGUCCUGGCCGUAAACGAUGCAUACUNNNUGAUGGCACGGCCAUGAGCCGUGUCAGUGCCGUAGGGAAACCGUUAAGUGUGCCGCCUGGGAAGUACGGUCGCAAGGNUAAAAC
This 850-nucleotide ribosomal RNA is filed under the name uncultured archaeon. RNAcentral describes it as "bacterial SSU rRNA". It matches the Rfam family "Archaeal small subunit ribosomal RNA", at positions 20 to 855 of the family's 1478-position model. The record is from RNAcentral.